This 2115-nucleotide unclassified non-coding RNA is filed under the name Zea mays. Its description in RNAcentral is "misc RNA Zm00001eb026280". Lineage: Eukaryota; Viridiplantae; Streptophyta; Magnoliopsida; Poales; Poaceae. The record is from RNAcentral.
AUCCCGUACAGGCCGUCAUCUCCACAGCAAAGCACGGCGCGCGCCUUGCUUUUCUCCCAACCGUGCGCCGUGCUUCUUCCCCUCUGUGCGGUGCUCCUGCUCCACUCCCGCGCGCGCGCGCUCCGCUCUGUUGCCGCGCGAGCCCCUGGCCCCAGCUUGGAUCUAGCCCGACCACAUCUCCGCUCGGCACUCCUCUGCUCGCCAUGGUUGGCGCGCGUCCUCCCUGCUCCUGCUCGGAGCUCCAGCUCGGCCGACCGCGCGGCUCCCAUGGCGCGCCUCGAGCUUCUCCCUGCGCGCUGCUCUCUGCCUCUCUUCUGGCCACGCUCGCCCAGCCCAGCCGUGCUUCUCUCCCUCUCUGCUCGCCGCGCGCGCUGCUCCCUGGGGCUCGCCGGACGUCGCUUUCUGGAUGGGUUCCCCUACAUCGCGCCCAGCUCGGAUCUUGCUCUGGCCGCGGCGCUUCUCUGCGGGCCAGCGUUUCUCCCUGCCAUGGAGCGCCUAGCGCCGCGCCCUGCUCCCUGGCAUCGCAGGCUCGCCGGCGUUUCUCCCUGAUUGCUCCAGCUCGCGACGCACGCCCAGCCACUCCUCCCUUGCUCCUCUGGUGCCGCGACUUCCAGCAGCUCGCCGACGACCGCUGGUGCCUUCUUCUGGUUCGGCCAUGCCGUGGUCUGGAACCUCGUCCGCACUUGUCCAUGGCGCCUGACCACGUGGCUCCUGACCUCGCUGGGUCUCAAGCUACCGCGGCGUCCUCAGCUCGUUCCCGGCACCGCCGUGUAGCGCUGCUGGCCGAGCUCUUCAGCCUUGUCCACUCCACUUCGACGUCGAGCCUCCAUGCUGACCGCGACUAUCACGCUAGCCAUCGUGGCGUCGCUAUUUUCUGCUGCGCCGCGACAUCGUUGAGCUCUGUGCUUAGCGUUGAAGUCGCUAUGCCGUUGUCGCUUUGGCUUCCUAUGUCCUCGCACGGGGUGUGACAGUCGUGUGUGUCUACAUCCGUGGCACCAACGUCUGCAUCCUCGGCAUCAUCGUCGUUUCAAUAGCUUUGUCGCAAGGUGCGUUCGCGCCGGAAGACGAAAGGGAAGCGCCAGUGCAACGCUCGUCAAGUAUCGAUGAUAUGUGCAAGCCGGACAACGUUGUCGAUUUCAUGGUUUCAAGUCGGAAUUAGCCUUGGUGAGUUGUCGUCGCUUCACCGUACUCGUUGGCAGUACGCCCUUGGAGCUCCCUGUUUGGUAAAAUAAAUGAAGCGGUGAUCAUCCUCAACCUAGCAAGAUUCAUAUUCGAUUUAGUGUGAGAACCAAAACCAAGUCGGCUCCAAGAUGUCGUAAAGCACGACCUACUCCGAACAGUGAUGCUGAUGAAUGAACCUGAAGAUGGAUAAUCUGAACGAGUGCCAAGACAAAGGAUGGUCGUCAAGUGGACGUCAUCUAACAAACACUAACGUAGUGUUUAUUCCAGAUGAAUUAAUUAUGCUUAUUGGAAAAGAUAAACAUUAUACAGCAGACAGCACAUUGGAAGCAAUGAACUAUAGCAAAUAUACCAUGCCAUGAAGACCGUCACCAAAGCACAUAAACUGGAGAGUGAAUUUCAAAGAAAAUGACCAGUUUCAGAUAAGGCGACUUAUGUGCAUUAGUCAAUGGUGCUCAUUUGUACAGUGAUAUGCCUCGGUUGAUACCAGAACAAUCACUUGCUCUUAUCAUACAACAGUUUGCUUUAGGCUUAUUUUGUGGCAGCUGAGCACACAUAAGCAAGAUCAAUGCCCAGACUACACUCCACAGUGUUUUCAGUUCACAAGUAAUUGCUCUGAUUAGCUCAGUCCAACAUGUUGCUAAUUCACUCGCUUACUUUGGCUGCAUCAGUUUUCUUUGCAUCAAUUUCCUCGUCAGGAGCUUCCUUGACUGGUUGUUGCACAUCAGUGUCAUGGGCAACUUGUUCUGAAGAUGCUUCCAAGUUGGCAGGCGUACUAACAAGAGCUGGCAAAGGUAUAGAGAUAGAACUAUCCAAAGAUGAUUCUGCCAGUUCAUCUACUAUUUUCUCUACCACUAUCUCAACUGAUGGGGCUGAAGAUUCUGUUGCAGUAGGGACAAUCUCGUUUGUACAUAUGUCGAUAUAGUGAUUUGAAGC